CUACCAACUGAGCUGUCCCAGAAAUCUGAAAGCAGAUCGUGAGCAGUGUGUCAGUACUCUCCCUACUUAGGAUUUCCCAGAUACUGCUGUCCUGCCUCCGAUAAAUUUCAGAGGCCCCCGUUUGCACAAAUCCCCGGAGGUGAAAGCCUCCAGGGAAAAUCAGCAACAGGGCCAAAGACUUAACCGUUUUUAAAUUAUUAUGGCACCAAAAAUUACAAGCGUAAACACUUUGUUAAGGUGUCACUAUACUGCGAUGCUUGCUGCAAAAAUGGCUACUGGGUGUGACAGGAAACAUUCCACCCUAUUAGAAAAAAAAGGCAAUUUAGGAGGGGUAGAAAACCACCAGAAUAGAUCAUUGCGGUAGCGAUGAAUGUGUGGGAACCUCUUUUCCAUUGGGAAGGAAGUAAUAUUUUUGUGUUUGUGUGUGCACACCUCUGCCUUUCAAGUCCCUCAUUCUCAGCCCUUGAUCCUUCUUCCUUCCUGCAGUGCUGUGACUUCACCUCCAGCAGGCAGUGGUUCCCACGGGGCCAAGAGAGGGAAGGUGAAGAAAAAUAAAUAUGAAGAAGCAGCGAGCCAUCUCAAGAGGGAAACUACAUGGCAGGAGGGGAAAAGGAGAGCUCCCUUUUCCAGAGGAGAGGGCCAAGAUUCCUUCCAGCCUGGCUUACGGCCACCAGGUCUGCAGCCAGGCUGAGAUCUCCUCCAACCUAAACACACACACAGUUCCUCAGGCCAGCUGACAAAGGCAGAAAAAUAUUAAGUGUGUAAUCCUGCUGACUCUCUCCAACCCUUAGGCCGUACGCUGCGGGGAGAGGUAGCAGCAGUUUAAGUUUCUCUUGGAAAACCUCCCUGGACACUCCGAACAGCUAGGACAGUGGAGCAAGGGAAAGCACUUUGUGCAUGCUUUGGGGUCCUCUUUGCGGGGUUCCUUUAACAGCUACAGAUUAUUUGGGUAGGCCUUUGCACCCUAAAUACUUUCCCAUGUAUUUUAGUUUUUCUCCCCCCCGCCCCCUUUUGCAGAUUUUAGAUUCUCGAGGUUUAAAAUGUCAGAGGUCUAAUCUAGGUUUCUUAUUGUUUGCAGCGUGUUAUUGCUGUAAGCCACGUUUGAGAACCUAGAUGAAAAGAGGGGAUGCGCGGUUUAAAAUAAACAAACAUGGUUCCCAAAAUUUUCCAUGGCUGUUAAGAGUGAUACAAAAGUCCUUUAACAUGUAUGUUGCGGAGGUGACUCUAAGAUGCGUGACCCUGAGAUGAGCUUGUUGCAGUGCCCAAGCUCCUGCCCAAACCGUUUUUUAAGCCUAAGCCACAUCCCAUAAAGCUGCAUGAAAAAUUGAUCCUCCGCCAAGCAGUGGCCGGCUACUGUGCAAAAGGACCACCAUUUUGUGCCGCUUCCCCCUUAACCUAAAGAAACAGGAGCUACAGGUUCCAUUUUCUUUGGACAGGAACAUUCUAGAAAGGCUCUCGAUGGAACAAUCCAGUUAUUUCCCCACUGCAAACGUCAGAUGGGCACCAGGGGAGAGAGACCACAGCAUGGAGACGAAAGGAUGCGGCAACCUUGCCAAAGCUAAGCCAGCCAAGGCCUGUUUCUCCUUUGCCCGCUGCCUCAUCUCCUCAAGAUACGGCACAGAAAAUGGCUGCCGAGGCAGUUGGCCCCAAGUGAAGGCUCUAGAGCAGUUCUUGAACUAGAACCACGAGGGGAAUCUCAGGGGCGAAGGAAGGCGGCGUGACACCCGGGGCAGGCGUUGCUACGUAGGGCGCAUGUGCGGUGUCGCUACAUACGACGUAUGCGCAGUGGUACAGUGUACAGUGGUACCUCGGGUUAAGAACUUAAUUCGUUCCGGAGGUCCGUUCUUAACCUGAAACUGUUCUUAACCUGAGGUACCACUUUAGCUAAUGGGGCCUCCCGCUGCCGCCACGCCAUUUCUGUUCUCAUCCUGAAGCAAAGUUCUUAACCCGAGGUACUAUAUCUGGGUUAGUGGAGUCUAACCUGAAGUGUCUGUAACCCGAG
Molecule: non-coding RNA, 2002 nt
Organism: Podarcis lilfordi (Lilford's wall lizard)
Lineage: Eukaryota; Metazoa; Chordata; Lepidosauria; Squamata; Lacertidae
Source: the annotation of a GenBank genome assembly